GCACUUGAUGAAAGGCGGGAAAGCGUAAAGGGUAGUACUAGGUCUGGCUGCCUGUGCCCGCCGCGGGGACUAGAGGCCUCUUCCGUACAACAGGAAGCGAGGACAUGGGAAAAGGCCUCCAGUUGUCGAAAAUGGGGCCCGACUAGAAGUGGAGGGGCAUUGGGUAGAUUUUUCACGGCACUGGCCUGGGACCUGUUUGAACUGCAAGUCGCGGCGGGAGUUGGAAAUGAGCCUGUCUGUGGUGUGAGAUAAGUGAGCAUGGAAGCAAGAUGAUUCCAACUGGAAUGUGACAAGAAAGACUUAUUUGGAAGUGUGCACUUGAAAGAGCAAGGGAAAACAGAGGUUGGAACCUCCAAUUGUUGGGGACACAUCAAGCCUUGGAUUCUUCAGGAAAAAGGAAGGCCAAGUAGGAAAUUGGAUCCAAGUUAAAAGUAUCUUUAUUCAAAUAUGUAUUAAAACUUUUUGAUCUUCAAAGCAACUUGGAUCUGAUUCAUAAAAGUGAACUCUGUACCCUUUCAAAAAUCAAGAAUUCAGGAAUGACUUUCUGCAUAGAACAGAACUCUCCAAAAUAUAUGCAAAUGAGAUAGGUUUCUACUCCUUAAAGGUACCAAAAUACUUUCUGUGUGAAAUUUUACUUGUAAGGUGAAAGGAUCCAUGUCAUUGUCUGGGAAGGUAGAUAAGCCAAUGUUUAGAUUGUUUAUGAGUCUGAGCAAUUGGUCGCUGAGUUUCCGGGAUUUUGGAGUGUUCUCCACAUCCUAUAUGUAAUGACUUUGAGAUUUAAAGGUUCUUCUUUAUUUGGUAAGUUUAGAAAAUCAAAAUCAAAUGUUUAAUGAUUUUAUUUUUAAAAUGAGUUAGGCAUAACUGGCAUUGGGGUGUGGAGAAGUUCUAAGUCCAGAUAACUGUUACUGAAUAGUUCCUUGAGGAUGGUCAUAAUAGUUUAUUUUUCUCAUGUUUUCUUUGCUUUAACACAUCUCAGCUUUGGGUUGUCAUUUUGAAUGGACAAAUGAAGAGUUUUGGCUGUACCUUUAACCAAAAUAAUAGAAACAUCAAUUAGAAACAAUAGGAGGGAGUGUUAAAUGGACACCGUUGGACUGGAGGGAAAUUUAUUGUAUUGAUAGUGUGAUAGGAGUUCUGGGACUGGACACACACAACAGAUAGGUAAACUCAGCAAGAAUCUGAGAUACCCUUUCCUUCUCUCCUUGCUAGGUCACAAUGUGUGCCUUUUGUUUAUGGACCUAGAAGCAGCCACAAUGAUAGAUGCUAUAAUACAGACAGAUAAAGGACAUCAAAUAACUAUAUCCACUCUUAUCUAGGGAAGAAAAGUGUCCUUUCUAUAUUACGUUCUAAAAGUUCUAUAGUUUUAUCUUCAAUUAGUUCUCCCUUGCAUUGUACUUUCCCUUUUGUAUGUGGUUUGUUGUACUGAUUUAACACGAAGUUUUAGCAAACAGAUAGUACAUUGUUUCUGGACCACAUGCAAGGUUAUGUGGAAAGAUGGGCAGUGAGAGGAAAUAAAAACCUUUCAAAGGACAGGGAGAGGAAGAUAGACUGGAAUGAAAAUAUACUAUAUGUUUCAUCUUACUUGAAUGGGAAAAUGAGAAAAAGAACAUUAUAUGAUAGAAGCAACACUCAAUAUCUUACUCAAAUAAACAGUAAAGAAAUAUCUGUGACAGAGGAAAGAAAAAUAGCAAGCAGAAUGCAAAAAUAAAUAAUGAGUAUAAAGCAAGAUGCAAACAUAAAGCAAAAGAUACUAGACAUCAUGUUAUAUUUGAGUAGAUGGAUAUUUUUCAUUAGAAUACAGAAAAGUCCCCAGAAGAUAUUUUAUCAAAGUUGUUUAUUCAUUGCCAAAAUAAUAUGAUUUCCCCUGGAAUCCCAGUGAACAUUGGAUGACUUUUUCCCCUGCAUCAGAAGGCAAUAUGUAAGUGUGGCAGAUGGCAGAGACCAUUUAUAAUGAUGAAGACCUUGAAGUAUGGAUCCAGAAGUACAAGAAUCUAAGUCAUGUUUGCACUUGGAAUUUUAGAUUCCCUGUACCCUGAAAUGGACUUAACACUGACUUGAGACACAAACUUUGUUUAGAUGUCCCAUUACAAUAAGUGCUGCCAAGAAUGUCAUUAGUUCAAACAGUGGGUGUUUAUUAAAUCUUAAUUGGUGAGACUUAAUUCUAAGAAGACAAAGACUUAUAUUUAUGUUUUCUUUUGGAAAUUUCUAGUAACAAACCAAGGUGUAAAGUAGCUUAAGAAAUGAGGCAUAUUAUGUGUUAUUUCUCUUCUUAACCUACAUCCUCACAUUUUUUCAAACUAAAGGUCAGGAUAAAGAAUCAAGGCAAGUGAGGUAGGUAUCUGAGCCAUAAAGUAUAAAUAUUGAAAGAUAUCAUUCUAUUUAGCAAUUACAGGAAAUUCAAGUUAUAUAGAUUUCCACUUUAAGUCCCUCUCACCCGACAUUACAGAAUGCACAUUUUCCUAUAUCAACUAGUCUCCCCUUCAUUUCUUCAGUUAGGAUAGCAUGUUCCUUCUUCCCCAAAUGUUUUUGAUUGCUCGUAUAUGUCCUGGCUUACUUUCAUAUCAUUCAUUUCCUUUAUGUAAAAAUGAUUAUGUUUUUUAAAAUCUUGUGACCACCAAGUAUGUAGAAAUGUUGUUUUUUGUCUAGCAGUUGUACCAUAGCUGAACUGUCAAAUUGAGAAGAGUGAAUAGCUAGUUUGUAUUUGUUUUUUAAAUUAACAAUUAAUAAAAUUGACUUUUUAGGGAUUAGUCUUUUCCU
This 2754-nucleotide long non-coding RNA is filed under the name Mus caroli (Ryukyu mouse). RNAcentral describes it as "lncRNA (MGP_CAROLIEiJ_G0006867.1)". Lineage: Eukaryota; Metazoa; Chordata; Mammalia; Rodentia; Muridae. The record is from RNAcentral.